Molecule: long non-coding RNA, 195 nt
Organism: Haliotis rufescens (red abalone)
Lineage: Eukaryota; Metazoa; Mollusca; Gastropoda; Lepetellida; Haliotidae
Exons: 3
Source: RefSeq, a predicted model, not a curated record
GUUCGUCCUGAAACUCAUCCACAUGCCCCGGCUAAACCCUGUGGAUCCGAGGUCUGCAAUCAGACUUCCCAAUGUUUGGAGAAGGGAUGUGGGAAGUGCUGUGCGCAAGCACCAUCGUUCUGCGAACUCCACAUCGCCUCCGAAACCGGGAACCUGUCAAAGUUGAAACUCAUCUUGUCCCAGGGACGGGCGGAC